This 351-nucleotide long non-coding RNA is filed under the name Capsella rubella. Its description in RNAcentral is "long non-coding RNA (CRUB_LNC003326)". Lineage: Eukaryota; Viridiplantae; Streptophyta; Magnoliopsida; Brassicales; Brassicaceae. The record is from RNAcentral.
UUUGUUCAUAAGCUAAAUUGUAGAUAUAAAUCCAAACUCGAGUAUAGAUUUCCGUAGAGUUUAGGGUAAGCGCAACUUCUUGCAAAUGUUCGGCAGAAUUCUCUUUUAUCUUUAAACAAUAUAGUUAGGUUUCUUAAACAAAAUUAUUAAAGAGUUCAAACUAAAUAUCAUAAUAUACAUUUUCAAAUUAAAAAAAAAAAAAAAAUCUUAGAAUGGUAGCAUUAGCAUAUCAAAUGAGUUUGUGAUGAUUGGGAAUACGUCAGACCGGUCACUCAACUCUAAUUUGACUCAAAAUAAUAAUCUGAAAACGGUUUCUUUUAUUUUGAUCAACGAUUUGCACUCCCAUUCGCC